Seriola aureovittata is the source of this 2030-nucleotide long non-coding RNA. RefSeq lists it as uncharacterized. NCBI's taxonomy places the organism in Eukaryota, Metazoa, Chordata, Actinopteri, Carangiformes, Carangidae. The record is from RefSeq and is a predicted model, not a curated record. The transcript has 5 exons.
CCUUCUCAUGCAUUCUCCGUUUUCGCAGCUCUCUCUGCACCACUCAGACUUUUGUGUGCUUGUCCUCUUGGUAUGGCGUAUGGUGGAACCGGUUCUACGCAGCUCCAGCACAUGCUAUCCCAGCCACAAACUGAGCAACAGCAGCAGCAGCAGCCACAGCAGCAGCAACAACAGCAGCAGCAGCCGCCGCUCCUCCUGCCUCUCACUUUACUGCUUGUGACUUUAUCUGCUUGCCUUUCCCAAUGGUACUUUUCCUCACGGUGCUGAUUUCCUUUGUCCAUAAGGCAUGUUUCCCUUCAAAGUCCUGAGCGUGGAGGGGUGAGGAAAAGAGAAGCCGUGUCUGAGGAAAGGGGAGAUGAGGGAACAGCGAAUAAAAUGUGACGAGGCUGGAGUGAAACAGAGAUGCAAGGCUGCAAGUCAAGAGGGAAAGCACUAACUCGAGAGUGAGGAAGAGGGGACAGAGAGAAGGAAUCAAGUUGGAGAGAAACGCGGGAAAAGUUGGUGUCCGCUUCAUGUCUGAGGAACAACACCUGCCACACAAGGGAGUAAUCUCAAGCUCUGUGCGUUUGUGACGGCAGCCCUGCGGAGACAAAAGACCAUCAGAGGGAGAGAGAGAGAGAGAGCUGAGAGGAAGCACAGAUUCACUCUGGCCGGGAAAGAAAGAAAAGAAGACGCUGACUUUAAGGUGGAUGGAUGCCUUAAACACCAUCGUUGUCCUGCUCUUCGUAACCCAUUGAAAACUAAUUUCAUCUUCACUGGUAAGCCAGAAUGCAGAUUCUCUCUUUGCUCCUAAUAUUGAACUGAUAUAUGAUUGUACUGCAUGAAGAUAAUGUCAACCCAGUAAGACCUGCAACUUAGAAUGUCUCUGACUGGAUACAUGUGAACUAUAAAUGCCUGUAAAUUCAUGUGAACAGUAACUCCAUGUAUUUUUUCUUUUCCAGAGAGUUUUGGAGUAUUAAACAAUCGUACCUCAGAAAUGAUCAACUAAAGAUAAAUGUGCCUUUCUAAUGAUGCGUAUGUUAUAUUUAUAUUGUUAUAAAGGGUUAAGGUUAGAGUAGUUAUUAAAAAUUAAAAAUAAAUGUCCCUUUUUAGUCAUCUAAGUUAUGUUGUCGGUUAUUAUUGCUGCUACUAUGUUUCUUAUAUAUGUAUGAACUUGAUUUUUAAAUCCCUUUUCACUCACUGAGCCUGAAAAGCUAUUAUACUCUGUAAUUUGUCAGUGCUAGCUCAAUAAAUCAUGUUCGAAAUGCCCAUGACAUUUAACAAAAGUUGAAUCAAUUGUUUCUCCUAAAUUAAUAGCAUUUCCUCCACAAUUUGCUCAACUGCUGCACCGCUGAGAUUAUUUGUGCCUGCUGUGAAAAAUAUUACCUUGCUUCUGACUGUUACUCUGCAAGACAAAAGAAGAGUGUGGGUAAAACGUAGACAAGUGUGUCGAAUAUGAUUAUGUUUUAAUUGAACUGAUCAGUUUUGCUUCAGAUCCGCAGCAAACCAGGAGACCCGUCGGUGCCGCAGAAUCCAAAUGUCAGAUGAGGUCAUGUCUUUGUCGCGGUGCAGCGACUCUGCGGUUCCUAUUUUUUUAAAAAUGCGUUUCGUCUCAGCGUUGUUGGAGGUUUUUUUGUACAUUAACUUGCUCUGUAUUUAAACCCUCCCUGUGUAUUUUAAUUUCACAGUAUGCCCCUCUGUCCCUGAGACCCUUAACCUGUGAGGUCAAAGCAGGUCACAGGUGAGGUCCUCGGGAACAGGGCUGCAUUCAGUUUCAACGUCCUAUAAAAAAAGAAGCAUUUUUAAAAGUAUCGUCACACAAUAAAUGUCUGUUUCAGUGUUUGAUAUAUCUGUUAAUAUUCUCACCAUUCUUUUAAACUUAAGAAAACCUUCUGAUUAUACUAUGUCACAUUUUCUCGGCUGUAAUGUAUGUUAGUAUGCAGCUGUGUCUGUAUGUUUCAGUGUGUUGUAUGUGUAUGUCAUGAUCAAGACUUGUCAGGUUGACCAAGAAGACGAUGACCCCUCCUCUUGCAGCACAGACACUCUCAGGG